ACAGACUGAAAAUUACUCAAGUUGUAUCCAUUGACUGGAGUAAGAUAUCUGUGCCGACAGAAGAAUGGUACAGUUUAAGCUUAUUGUCAGUCAGUGUGACUCGCAAUGAAACCCAUGUGCCAACACUU
Molecule: small nucleolar RNA, 128 nt
Organism: Misgurnus anguillicaudatus (oriental weatherfish)
Lineage: Eukaryota; Metazoa; Chordata; Actinopteri; Cypriniformes; Cobitidae
Product: small nucleolar RNA ACA64
Source: RefSeq, a predicted model, not a curated record